UUCCUCGCCGUUAACCCGCGCGACUGACCCCUGAAGUAAAGUUCGUCGAAGAUGGCGGUUUCAGCAGAGGGUGUAAAUACUUCUGGCCUGCGGGAUGUAACGCGCAGCGAUUGAACCAUUAGGCACACGCGCAAGAUGACGAAUCGCGUAUCUGUAUACGAAUUACGAAUUUCCUGUCUCGAUCGCAACGAGCUCCAACGAAUGGAGAAUUUACUCGUUAUUCUAUACCUUUCUGCUAAAUACGAAUGCUAUUAAUUUCUCUUCACUCGAGGACGAAGAUGCUAUAGUCACUGUAGCUUCGAAUAAAAAUAAUACGGGAAGAGAAUUAUACUCUAAACUGUUUUAUGAUACGAUUUCGUCUUCGAUAAACUGAAUGUUAUAUUUUUUAGCGAAACCCAACCUAUCGAUAUUUAUUCGAUUGGUGCUUUUGUUGGUUUCAAUUAUGACUACAGAACGAUCGCGAUAAAAUACGAUUGUUGCUACUGGUAAUAUCGGUUCCGCCACUAUUAUCCCGUCAUAAAAUGUAAGGGCAUUAUUUUUUCGCGUGUAGCAUUAACAAUGCAGUUUGCGGUUUUAUUAUAUGGUAAAGCGUUAAAGGAAAUCUUGAUUUUGCAAAAUGUAUAUUUAAAACGUCCAGUGUGGACCCAGAUGAAAAUGUUAUGAAACAGCAACCUUUAGUUAUUUCACCGUGAAGCUGGGCCAAAUAUUUAUCUUUAAUAAAAAUUUGUUGUUCGCGACACAAAUUGCCCCAUCGAAGCAAACAAUUUCCAGCUUCAAAUGUUUUUGCAUCUAUAAGAGAACGAUAGAGUAAUUUAAUUGACAACGGCGAAACUGAAAAGAUAAAAUGUAGUCCAAAAAACCAAGUGAAAUUUAGUUCGAUCGAAUAUAUCGGAAUCAAAAUGAUUUUCAAAAUCUAGUAAAAAUAUUGUGUCAGUUCCAAGUGACUUAGAAUUAAAGAAAAGUCUUCUUCGUCUACUAAAAGCUUAUUAAUUGGCAAAAGAGAAGAAAAAUGUCUUUAAAAUAGAUCUUGUUAAUUUAUACGUUCUCUUGCAUCUUAGAAAUCUGCGCGCACCAUAAAUGGGAGAUCCGCGGUUUAGUAAUCAGCCCAAUCUAAGGCAACGCAUAAUCAAAACGAUCUACCGUACAAAUCGAUGAAGACAGUAUCUAACAAUAUAACCAAGUAGCCGUUCUAUUACACGAACGUUCGUGUCGAUCGUUCGUGCAACCAAUUUUAAUUGUUCCAUUAAAAUUGUAUUUAGAUACUAAUUCGAAAACUGUAUGAAAUGCCACUGAAUUCUUCGUUGCAGAGCAUUACGGCGACAUCGAAUGUUAGUCAAUGUAUCGCGAACGAUGCAAUUGUCUCUGUAUAGCUCGUGUUCCCAUAAACCGUCGCGAUUAUUCAUUACAAAGCGGAGAGAGACCUAACUGCCGCGUGCGAGCGCGCCGUCGACCGUGGCGUACACAACUCUUCUCCUUUCCGCAUCAAAUAACCAUUGACAAGCUGUUCUUAGCGAUGCAAAUGAUAGAUUACAGUUGACGCGAUCGAUAGCUGUUCCUCGUACAAAUUGAAUCUCGCAAUGUCGCGCUACAGUUUAAUUAAACCGGUGCUUGUUAUAACUUCCGCAGGGACACGGUCUGAUCGCGCGUGAAAUCACGCUCGAUUAAACUUACACGGAAUAUUUCGUGGAUGAUGAUUACCUCGCUGGGAAAACUGGAAAGUUUCGGAACAACGAUGCACUCGAACCAGUUUCCGCCGAUAACGAGCUUGUUUCAAUGAAAUAACGGAUCACCUUGCCGUCUGACUCCUCGACGUAGAUGCACGCGCGUAGCAUUGCAUUGCGGCCGAUUUUGUCGGCCCCUACUUUUUCUAAUCUUCGGGUCGGAGUUCCAUCUCUUUUGUUCGUCGCGGUAAAUUCUGUCUCGUUAUUUCGCGAAAGCUGUCUUCAUUUAUAUCAUAUUGAGUCAAACCAACGGAGGAUGGUAAAACUCUUUUCUUCUAAAAACAAAAGUAUUUAUUCUUUUAUUUUCCUCGUAAUAAUGACAGCGGUAUCAUCCUCGUUCGUAUUAAAAUCAAGCAAAGCAACAAAAGAAAAUCAGUUCGCGAAUAUCUGCAAUGUUUCUCUCUCACAAUGAAAUGUUCGGUUUUCGAGAGCCUUGGUUCGUUAAAAAUCGCUAACGAUAUCCAAGAAAGUGUCAAGGACUGACAAAAACAGGAAUCUGUGGUUUCCGAUGAAUCUACAAUCCUCUUCAGUUUUGGGUUACAUCGCCGUAUCGGAUGAAACAUCGAGAACUAUUCUACGUUACGUCGUUAGUUUGUUAGAAGACGAUCUCCUGUUGCGCGCAACAUUGCCGUAACUUGAGAUUACAGCAGCUUUUUCCGGAAAUGCUACAUUUCGGGUUGCUGUGAAUUUCCCUGUGCUAAUUUAUUGCUACGUCGAAGCUGAGAUUCGACGGAGUCAGUCGAGCGUGCGAUGCGUCACGCGACGCAGUUCCUUUGACUCGAGUUCCCGGAAGACAUCACGAAAUGGUUUGUUUGGGUGUGAGUUAGGUAAAUAAAACCGCGGAGCUACAAGAUACGUUACCAAUCGCAACGACCGUUGAUGGUUAAACUCUCUGUCCAAUCGAGACAUGUGACCUCCGAAAUGCCUUCGAAUAGUGGCAUGAGGUCUCCGAAUAGCAUUUGAACCAUGUCAUGUGGCCUCCGAAUUGUUUUCGAAUAGUGCCAUAUGGUUUCCGAAUUGCCUUCAAA
Non-coding RNA from Megalopta genalis, 2749 nucleotides. The record is from RefSeq and is a predicted model, not a curated record. NCBI's taxonomy places the organism in Eukaryota, Metazoa, Arthropoda, Insecta, Hymenoptera, Halictidae.